This 393-nucleotide ribosomal RNA is filed under the name uncultured bacterium. Its description in RNAcentral is "partial 16S ribosomal RNA". It matches the Rfam family "Bacterial small subunit ribosomal RNA", at positions 523 to 918 of the family's 1533-position model. The record is from RNAcentral.
AUACGGAAGGUCCAGGCGUUAUCCGGAUUUAUUGGGCUUAAAGGGAGCGCAGGCUGAUGAUUAAGCGUGACGUGAAAUGUAGCCGCUCAACGGCUGAACUGCGUCGCGAACUGGUUAUCUUGAGUGAGUUCGAUGUUGGCGGAAUUCGUGGUGUAGCGGUGAAAUGCUUAGAUAUCACGAAGAACUCCGAUUGCGAAGGCAGCCAACAAGGCCUUUACUGACGCUAAAGCUCGAAGGUGCGGGUAUCGAACAGGAUUAGAUACCCUGGUAGUCCGCACGGUAAACGAUGGAUGCCCGCUGUUUGCGAUAUACUGUGAGCGGCCAAGAGAAAUCGUUAAGCAUCCCACCUGGGGAGUACGCCGGCAACGGUGAAACUCAAAUGAAUUGACGGGG